UGGGGAAUAUUGCGCAAUGGGGGAAACCCUGACGCAGCGACGCCGCGUGGGUGAUGAAGGCCUUCGGGUCGUAAAGCCCUGUCGGGAGGGAAGAAACACUCCGGACCUAAUACGUCCGGGAAUUGACGGUACCUCCUAAGGAAGCACCGGCUAACUCCGUGCCAGCAGCCGCGGUAAUACGGAGGGUGCUAGCGUUGUUCGGAAUCACUGGGCGUAAAGGGCGUGUAGGCGGCGUAAUAAGUCACUUGUGAAAUCUCCGGGCUUAACUCGGAGCGGCCAAGUGAUACUGUUAGGCUAGAGUGCAGAAAGGGCAAUCGGAAUUCUUGGUGUAGCGGUGAAAUGCGUAGAUAUCAAGAGGAACACCUGAGGCGAAGGCGGGUUGCUAGGCUGACACUGACGCUGAGGCGCGAAAGCUAGGGUAGCAAACGGGAUUAGAUACCCCCGUAGUCCCUGAGCGGGCUGGCAAGGCGCAU
Molecule: ribosomal RNA, 473 nt
Filed under: uncultured bacterium
Lineage: Bacteria
Description: bacterial SSU rRNA
Rfam family: Bacterial small subunit ribosomal RNA
Source: RNAcentral